ACCUGGGUAUCGCCCAGAGCACCGCCUGCACCAUGGCCUCGAGGAGAGUGGCACCCACGAGGACCGGCUUCUAAAAACCCUGCAUACAGUUUAGUUCUGCCCCGCAGCUGCCUUGCUCACUUGCUCUUUUCUUGGGCGGUCGAGCUUCCUCCUUCCCGCUCCUGCAGGCGUCUCUUCGCCCGAUUUCGCUGGCAGAUUGGACGUGAGGACUCAAACCUGCCGGCCCCAGGAUUUCCUCACUCACUCCCACGGGACAUCCCCACAGCGGAACCCAAGGCCAACCCAGGGCUUCCGCUUCCGCCCCCGCUGUUUCAGGCUGCUGAUUCGUCAACAGUGCCAAAUGUACCCGCCCCAUCCGCCUCACUUUGCACUCUCUGAUUGGUUAUUUGUAGGGGGCGGGGCUGUAGAGAGGCGUAGCAAGGUUAGGAGGUUGGAAAGAGAAGACGUGGGUCGGAAUUGUUGGAAUCGGUUGCCUCAGUGGCCUGUGAACGGGAUUCUGGAAGCUGUAAGAAUUGAUUGAGAACACUUAGGGAACACCUCCUACGUUCUCCUGAUUGACUGUAUUCCAGCAUUAAUAAAGCCUGGGAGCAAGCUAAAGUUGUAGAACUAUCAGAAUGAAGCAAGAGAUGGAAAAGACCAGAAUGUCCGAUAAAGAAGUAGUUUUGCAUGCCAGUUUGUGAACUGGGGUUCAUCUAUGGUAAAGUUGCUACAGAUUGGCAGAGACAUAAGAAAAAAAAUAUAUAGUGGGUUUUUCAUUUAGUCAAACUUAAGGAUUGUGCAUUAUAUUGAAAUUGUUCAUUCUAUUUCUUUUAUCCAAUGACAGUUAUAGAAUAGUUAUUUUCUAACUAUUUUUCUUUGGCGAAUAAAAUGUUGCUAACUUUA
This is a long non-coding RNA of Suricata suricatta (meerkat), 882 nucleotides long. RefSeq lists it as uncharacterized. NCBI's taxonomy places the organism in Eukaryota, Metazoa, Chordata, Mammalia, Carnivora, Herpestidae. The transcript is spliced from 2 exons. The record is from RefSeq and is a predicted model, not a curated record.